CAAGCUUUGAUAACAAGGCAAAUGCUAGCCCUGGCAUCUAGAAUAUAGUAUAUGAGUGUAUUUUAAACUAUUCUGAUAUCACUGCUCUCUCACAGUGAAUAAAACACUUAUUUUUCCAGGAUUAUCAAUAACUUCCAGUGAUGUGAUCACACUCAUCUGAUACUUGUAAGGCCAACAGUCUGAUCACAGGUUGAGAUAAGAACUAAAAUGCCAGGGUGGAGGGACAGCCACAGGUAGUGUGAUUUCCAGACCAUGUGCAGAAAGGCCUAUUCCACCACACAAGCUGAACUUCUCAUAGUGGCUCUUCUGUGUAAAAGGUCUGGGGAAUCCUUCUGGUGAGAGGGCAGAGCAUUUCCAGAAAUCAGACCCUGUGUGCA
Phyllostomus discolor (pale spear-nosed bat) is the source of this 377-nucleotide long non-coding RNA. RefSeq lists it as uncharacterized. The transcript is spliced from 2 exons. The record is from RefSeq and is a predicted model, not a curated record. Lineage: Eukaryota; Metazoa; Chordata; Mammalia; Chiroptera; Phyllostomidae.